This 4487-nucleotide long non-coding RNA is filed under the name Bemisia tabaci. RNAcentral describes it as "lncRNA ENSSSA1UGG006535". Lineage: Eukaryota; Metazoa; Arthropoda; Insecta; Hemiptera; Aleyrodidae. The record is from RNAcentral.
GAACUUUUACAAGCAUCCAAUUUGAAUUCGCCGAAAGCGUCAGUCAAACUUUGUUUUUCCCCCAGUUUUAAUGCGGGACUUAAAUUCGGGAGAUUUUUAACUGUGACUGAGGAUCGUGCAGAACCGGAGCUCCACGAUGGAUACUCUGUUCUUCCUACUUUCCAUGGCGGACUGGGGGGCCGACCCCUUGGAUUCCCCCGAGGACCCAUCCUGGCAGCACCUUACGACGAGAACUCCCGGAGCCCUUUAAGAUGCAUAACGAGGAGUAGCGAAAGCCGCCGGGAGCGAGAGAGGCGGGAGCAGAUUCGCCGCGAGAUAGAAGAGAUUCGCCGCCAACUGGAAGCGAGCAUGCCGCCGAGUCAGCGCGCCUCCGGAAACAACCAGAGGGCGAACCAGGAGCCGGCCAGAGGCGCGCAGACCUCUCGCAACGCAAGCUCCAGGAACCGCGGAACGCAGGUACGAAAUAUUGUGUCUGUUCCAGGGUGGCAUGAAACGGAAGAAAGUAAUGAAAGAUUCGAAAUUUCAAUGCAAUAUUUCAUGCGUUUCAGGGGCCAGAGUAUGCAAUUAGCACCAGAAAACGCAAAAUUGAAGAAAUUCACACUUUGCGAAACAUGAAAAGGAACCGGUAUUUUCCAAUAUCUGCCAUAGAUUUCUGAAAUUUCAUGAAAUAUUUCACGUAAAAUUUCAAGAUUUCAUUUUUCAUGAAAUUUUGCCAUUCUGGUCUGUAAGAAGGGGGCCAUGCCCCUUCGCCGCUACGCGGCCCAACCACCAAGUGCUACUACUCAGUAAGAAAAAAUAAGGGGCUGUCCAUAAAUUACGUAAAGCUCUUAGGCGGGAGAUGAAGGGGGGGGGGUCUCGAACAGCCUUACGUAAGCUUUCCAGCCUGUAUUUAAAGAAAACGCAAAAUAUAUUUUUCGUUGGGUUGAUAAUAAAAUUCAAGAUGGAAUAGAGGGAAUCAGCGCACCACCGAUUGCUGACCGAUCAGACCAUGCUCUUGUCAUUUCUCUUGAUUCCCACUUCUCCACUCCGGGGGAAGAUGAGUAGUGACCUCAUCUUUAUGUCAACUUUAUACGACUAUUAGUGGGGUUCCAUACGAACCACUAAUUGGCUUAUAAAGCCAUAUAGAUACGAGCCGUCUUAGUUUGUUUCAAAAAACUAGCGUAAAAUUUUAAUACUCUUAUAUUAUAGGGCAACCCCUAGAAAGGAUACUUUAAUAUAGUAUAAGCACUGUCCUCCCUCCCCACAAUAGGGGCGCAAAUAGGGCUCACAAUAUCCUUGUCAUUGACUUGAUUGAUUUCUUCCGCCGCCAGGUGCAGGACAUACAACAGGCCCCACAGUUCUCGGCGGAUCCCGGAUGGACGGACGUUUACACAUACCCGCAGCUGCAACAGUUACAGCAGAUGCAACAACAACAGUUACAGCAGAUGCAACAACAGACGCAGCAGAUGCAACAACAACAGACGCAGCGGCGUCCUAGUGGAUACAACAGCAACUCGCGAUCCAGAUCGCAGCAGCAACUAACCGUCAACAUACCGCACACAUCGGCCAUACCGAACGGACAGAGGUGGUGGCGUACUGGGUCCCUCUCACCUCCCCCAGCCCUUUUGCCAACUACCGGAGACCCCAUCAAUUAUGAUUAAAAACGCUGAUGAAGCGCAGAACUGAACUGCAGUAUCUAUGUGGAGAGAGUUUGGGACAUGUUGAAAUAUAAGCAAAUCGUUCGUCAACUGUUGACGAAAUCUGUAAACGGUUUACGACACACGUCAUCAAAACAAACUUGCGUUCUCGGUUUGUGAUUACAUGGGCGUGGCCUUGCUUUUCCCGCCAAUUUUCGCCAACAGUUUACGGUUGCGUAAACGUGCCCCAGACCAAAAUUAUCGAAACUGUUGACGAUUCUGGUUCAGAGAGUGAAACCCAUCGGCAGUCCUUUAAACAGGCCACCGGGCUCUGAUUGGUUGAUGAAAAUACCAGCUUCGUUAAUGCACAGGACAACUGUUUACGGAUUUCGUCAACGGUUGACGAACGAAAAUUUGCUUUAUGGAGCUCUUAAGGCCGAAAAGAGUGGCCUCCUUUUUAACACGAAAAACAUUAGAUAAAUGCCGCCAACGAUGGAGAUGUUGCAUGUGUGAGGAAUUUGCGAUUUGACUGUUGAUUCUUACGUAAAAGUUUGCGAGAAACACGAUGGUGCCACUGGUCUUGAAAUCAACUCCCAAGCUAAAAAAAGCUCUCAAGUUGAGGCCAAAAUGGAGGGGAUAUACCACGCUAUCCUGCGAGUCCACCUCUACAUCAACACAAACUUUCCAUGCGAAUAUAGGGAGUAAAUACAUUAGAAAGGUGGCCGUUUUUCAGUUUUAGAGUCCCCAAAUAAAGUGGCAGCCCUGUCAAUGAUUUUGCUCCCUAUCUUUGCAUGGAGAGUUUGUUUUGAUGUAGAGGCGGACUCUCAGGAUAGCGUGGAGACAUCCCCUCCAUUUUGGCCUCAACUUGAGAGCUUUUUUUGAGCUUGGCAGUUGAUUUCAGAGAAAACCAGUGGCACCAUCGUGCUUCUCGCGAACUUUUACAUAAGAAUCAACAGUCAAAUCGCAAAUUCCUCACACAUGCAACAUCUCCAUCUUCAGAUUCCAAUUCCAAACCAAGAUGGCCAAGAAUGUUUAUGAAUGAGCAUCCCGUCGGAAAAAUUAAUAAAUUUAUGCGAAAAAACAAGUCAGAUAGGUGCUUCAUAAAUGACCGGUCAUAACCAUUGUAAUGAUAAAUCAUUGUGGAUACUUUCAGUUCAAUAAGCUAGCUGCCCUUUUGGACCUAAGAGCUCCAUGGCCUAACCUUCAUAAUUACCGAUUAGUGCAUAAUCUCAACUGAACCAAACAGAACAGAACUAAGUCAUAUUUUGAAUAAAUAAGUGUGUAGAGCUAUUCGCAGAAAUGUGUUUAAAUUAUUUCAGAUUACAGAUCAGUCAAAAAUAUUAAAAUAUGUCCUAACAUCAAGAUACCACGUCCAAUAAUGACGGAGGCAUCCGUAACAAACACGGCAUAUGCCAUCAUUCAUCGCGGCAGUGCAUACCACGAUUCCUUCCACCUUAAUUUCAUCUUUAAAAAUGGAAAUAAGUGUAUUAUUCAUGGAUGAAUUCAAGAUAGGAGAAACCACGCUGGGUAUAGACGCUGGGGGUAGAUAACGUCUCACACCGUGUUUUUCGCAAGGCCAUGUGUUCGUUAAAAUUUGAUGUGGUAGCCACGUCUUUAAACAGAUCGUAUCACUUCCUGCGGAUCUGUGGGCUUAAAAAAUCAAAAUAUGAGUAUGUGACUACCGAAUUGACCCAGCUGUUAUGUUCAUGCCCGUGGUGAAAACUGUAAGAUUUUUCUCUCUCUCUCUCUCUUACUGCAAAAAUAGACACUUACAAUGUUCAUUGUUAUCUGUGAGGACAGGUGUCAGUGUACCUGAUCCCGUGAAGUUGCAUGCGUUCAUGCUGAGUCUGAGUCUUGAGUUUUUUCUCGAAUAUUCGAAUAAAUCCACGUGUACAACGCGGUGAGGUUCAAUUUUGUAACACCUGGAAAAUUCCUGAUAUAGCACUUCGCAGCAGCCACGUCAAUUUUUCUGGGCUCCACCUGGCAAGAACACAUUAAAGCUCCCACUGAACAAAAAGAGCAAAACAAUUAUAAAAAAAAUCCAGAAACGUGAGAGGGAAAAGCUAUGUGUGUGGCUUUUUUGAAUCCGUUAAUUUCCAAAAUCGCUUCUGAGUGCAAAAUGAAACCGAACGAACACGAAAUUGCGACUUUUCAGUGAUACAUUUGAACUAAAGUGGACGUCUUUAAAUAUAAAAAGGAACUAUAUUCAUUGCGAUAUGAGCCCUGGCAUGCAUGUACUCUUGUGGAUCUCAGGGCUCGUGUCAGAAUGUAUAUAAUUCAUUUUUAUUUAAGUACGUCCUAUUGAUGCGCUCCGAAAGCGAAGAAGUAACGACUAUCUACAGCUAAACUAUAAUUAUUUUUGAACUCUGACUUUACUUUUUAAAACGGGUGGUUUUUAAGUUGGGGGGAGGCAAAGGAAAAUUUCAUCGAGAGUUUGCAGAUUUGGAUAGGGACGGAGGUGCCCCUACCCGAAAGGAGAUAAAGUGUUCAAAUUAAAAGCCCAAACUAGAAAGAAAAUAGUGCUAGGAAAGGCGGGACAUGAUAAAUAUCGACGGUGAAACUACCAAACCACGUAUCUCGGUUUGCGACGUUGCAGACUUCCUGUCAUACUUUAUUUUUUUAAUGAAAAACUACUUAACGUCUAGUCUUGAAAAUUUCUGUGAUUUUUCCUCUUUGUGCGGAGAAAAUUCUGUGAAAAUUUCAAGGAAUGAUAUUGAUUUGGUCUACUUCAAAAAAUAAAAUGCGAGCGUAGAUUUUUAAACACCGCAAACGAGAUACGUGGUUUGGUAGUUUCACUGUCGAUAUAUGAAUUGGAGAAAUCAAAUGAAUAUAAAUAUAAGUACAUUCUUGGUUUCCUGGUUCGAAUCCCGC